This is a long non-coding RNA of Daphnia magna, 816 nucleotides long. RefSeq lists it as uncharacterized. Lineage: Eukaryota; Metazoa; Arthropoda; Branchiopoda; Diplostraca; Daphniidae. The transcript has 2 exons. The record is from RefSeq and is a predicted model, not a curated record.
UUCCUUCACUUCUAUCUUUAUUUAUUUUUUCCUUUUAGCGCUGCUGCUUCAUUGCAAUGGCCGCGCCCGCCGACCGUUAGAUCUACCUCAUCACGCUGCCCACCUGGUGUACAGCCACAUCUCUUUUCGCAUGUGUUAUUUCGUGUAAUACCAUUGUCGUCAGGUUCCGCUGCCCUGGCCGACAUAAAACAGACGACCAUUCGAGCGUUUUGUGCAUCGCUUUUCUACGCUUCAUCGAGUUGAUAGCAAAGUCAAUUGAUUCUAAUCCUGUUGAUGAUACUCUGAAAUUGAAUGGUCCCUUCUUCGAAAUUUUUUUUGUUUCUUUCUGAUAACAGUAAAAAUAUAUUUUUAAAAAAGCUAUUUCCCACGAAGAUUGCGCUGAGAAAAGAAAUUACGUUUCCAGAUUUGAAAACAAAUUGAAAUGUUUUUUUGUUGUUGUUGUUGUUUUCAAAUCAAACAACAUCCGUCAAUCCGUCCAAUGGACAAAGACAAAGAUAACGGAUGGUAUUCUCUUUGCGUCUUCAACUUUGUUUCACCGAAAGAAAAAAAAAAAAAAGUGUCGACAGAGCCAUCUAUCAUCAAAGACCCGACACUCUGACAGCAUUUUGACAUUGUACACAUACCGAAUAGUCGACAAGGACCUGGGCCGUCGUGGGCGUUGCAUUGACGGGCGAACGAGGUAGACCUUCAUCAUCUUCGGCUGAACGAUGUCUUCCACCAAUGGCUGCUCUCAGCUCGCUCUAAUCCAUUCAAAUGUAUUCAAAUCAUCACUAAAUCGAGAAGAAAAAAAGCCAAAAUACAUCUUCUUAUGUUCAA